RNAcentral lists this ribosomal RNA (599 nucleotides) under uncultured bacterium. Its description in RNAcentral is "bacterial SSU rRNA". It matches the Rfam family "Bacterial small subunit ribosomal RNA", at positions 129 to 755 of the family's 1533-position model. The record is from RNAcentral.
CCCGGGGGUCGAGCAUAGCCCGUAGAGAUACGGGGUAAUUCUCGAUGACGUCGUGAGACCAAAGGUCCGCCGCCCUCGGAGGGGCCCAUGUGAUAUUAGCUAGUUGGUGGGGUAACGGCCCACCAAGGCGAAGAUGUCUAGCGGGUGUGAGAGCACGACCCGCGCCACUGGCACUGAGACACUGGCCAGACACCUACGGGUGGCUGCAGUCGAGGAUCUUCGGCAAUGGGCGCAAGCCUGACCGAGCGACGCCGCGUGUGCGACGAAGGCCUUCGGGUUGUAAAGCACUGUCGAGGGGGAGGAAGGCGAAAGCUUGACCUAUCCCUGGAGGAAGCACGGGCUAAGUUCGUGCCAGCAGCCGCGGUAAGACGAACCGUGCGAACGUUGUUCGGAAUCACUGGGCUUAAAGGGCGCGUAGGCGGGCCGCCAAGUCCGGGGUGAAAUCCUCCAGCUUAACUGGAGAACUGCCUCGGAUACUGGAGGUCUCGAGGAGGGUAGGGGCAUGCGGAACCGUGGGUGGAGCGGUGAAAUGCGUUGAUAUCCAUGGGAACUCCGGUGGCGAAGGCGGCAUGCUGGACCCUUUCUGACGCUGAGGCGCG